Molecule: transfer-messenger RNA, 335 nt
Filed under: Gammaproteobacteria bacterium
Lineage: Bacteria; Pseudomonadati; Pseudomonadota; Gammaproteobacteria
Rfam family: transfer-messenger RNA
About the family: Bacterial tmRNA, also known as 10Sa RNA or SsrA, is named for its dual tRNA and mRNA-like properties. Its role is to liberate the mRNA from a stalled ribosome. To accomplish this part of the tmRNA is used as a reading frame that ends in a translation stop signal.
Source: RNAcentral
UCUGGCUUCGACGUGGAUUGCGAAACCUUAAGGGCAUGCCGAGGUGCAACCUCCCUCGUAAAACUUGUUGCAAACUUAUAGUUGCAAACGACGACAACUACGCGUUAGCUGCCUAAACCAGCUGACCCUUCAAUAGCUCGGAGCUUACGCUGACUAGCGAAGGUAACCUUUAGUAAGAUCGCGGUGUUUAUUGGUCUGGGGUAAAUAUCGUUAAAACUUUACUGGAAUCGCCCUGCGUUUUCCCCGCUCAUCGGGUAGCGUAGGGUUAAAUCAAUAGGUGAGAUAAGCAUGUAGAACUUAAGGCAGAGGAUUUGCGGACGCGGGUUCAAUUCCCG